AUACGGAGGGUGCGAGCGUUACUCGGAGUCACUGGGCGUAAAGCGUCCGUAGGCGGUCGGGUAAGUCGGGUGUGAAAGCCCCGGGCUCAACCUGGGAAGUGCACCCGAUACUGCUCGACUCGAGUGCGCGAGAGGAUGGCGGAAUUCCCGGUGUAGCGGUGAAAUGCGUAGAGAUCGGGAGGAACACCAGUGGCGAAGGCGGCCAUCUGGCCCGCAACUGACACUGAGGGACGAAAGCGUGGGGAGCAAACAGAAUUAGAAACCCUAGUAGUCC
Molecule: ribosomal RNA, 274 nt
Filed under: uncultured bacterium
Lineage: Bacteria
Description: partial 16S ribosomal RNA
Rfam family: Bacterial small subunit ribosomal RNA
Source: RNAcentral